UUAAUUCUUGGUGUAGUAUUUGACUUAGUGGCGGACGGGUGAGUAACGCGUGAACAAUCUACCCUAUGCAGGGGGACAACAGGUAGAAAUGCCUGCUAAUACCGCAUAAGACCACAGUACCGCAUGGUACCGGGGUAAAAGGAAUUUAUUCCGACAUAGGAUGAGUUUGCGUAUCAUUAGCUAGUUGGUAGUGUAAUGGACUACCAAGGCGACGAUGAUUAGCCGGCCUGAGAGGGUGAUCGGCCACACUGGGACUGAGACACGGCCCAGACUCC
Molecule: ribosomal RNA, 275 nt
Filed under: uncultured bacterium
Lineage: Bacteria
Description: partial 16S ribosomal RNA
Rfam family: Bacterial small subunit ribosomal RNA
Source: RNAcentral